This is a regulatory RNA element of Amazona aestiva (blue-fronted amazon), 45 nucleotides long. It matches the Rfam family "Histone 3' UTR stem-loop". Rfam says of the family: The mRNAs of metazoan histone genes lack a poly-A tail. 3' end processing occurs at a site between a highly conserved stem-loop (modelled by this family) and a purine rich region around 20 nts downstream (the histone downstream element, or HDE). The stem-loop is bound by a 31 kDa stem-loop binding protein (SLBP - also termed the histone hairpin binding protein, or HBP). The record is from Rfam. Lineage: Eukaryota; Metazoa; Chordata; Aves; Psittaciformes; Psittacidae.
CCAAAGGCUCUUUUCAGAGCCACCUACAUGUUCAGAAAAGAGUUG